This 585-nucleotide ribosomal RNA is filed under the name uncultured Rhizamoeba. RNAcentral describes it as "eukaryotic LSU rRNA". It matches the Rfam family "Eukaryotic large subunit ribosomal RNA", at positions 87 to 620 of the family's 3401-position model. Lineage: Eukaryota; Tubulinea; Elardia; Leptomyxida; Flabellulidae. The record is from RNAcentral.
CGGCGAGUGAAGAUGGAAAAGCUCAGACUUGAAAUCCGCGAUUGUGAAAUAAUCGUGGAAUUGUAGUCUUUGAUGGCAGUCUACCAACGUUUGAAUCUCUGUUCUGAAAAUAAUCCAAGGAAAGGGUAGCCAAAGAGCGUGAAAGCCGCGUUGCCGGAACAGAGAUUUGGAGCAAAUAAGUGAGACGGUCAUUUCGAGUCGGGCUGUUUGGGAUUGCAGCCUCAAUCAUUGCGGUGUUAGACCACAUCGAAAGCUAAAUACGGAAAGGAGACCGAUAGCGAAGAAGUACUGCGAAGGAAAGGUGAAAAGGACUUUGAAGAGAGAGUCAAAAGAACUUGAAAUCGUCAUGAGGGAAGCGAAGUCGUCGAGAUGAAGCGACAAUUGUGGGAGGUGGUGUAAAAACUACUACUUGCAGUUGUCGUGGCCAUGCAGUGAUUUGGGAAUGAGUAAAGAUGGGUUUUGUGAAGAGGAUCAGAAGUCAAAUUCUGAAGACCGGCACAGAGCAACAAAUACUGCUCUCCUAGAUCAUGAUUCGCGAGGAAGGAAGAUUUAUCAAGGUGCUUAAACGCGCCUAAUCCUCUCCCG